CACCACCCUCCCUGCAUGCUUCUGUCCCGUGGCACCCUCAGAGUAGCUCAGCUGGACUGACAGCAGCUUGACGGAGCCAGCCUGGGCUGGCGGGACAGGUUUCUCCUUCCUGGCCUCUCGCCCAGAGGCCAGUGCCUUCGGAGCAGAAAGAGUGAUGGUACACAGCAACCAAGCAGGGCACAAAACAAUUCUGCUUCAACCGUGAAAGAUCUGGAUACGCAGCUCAGACUGGCCUCUGCCUCAGAUUCCCAAGUGCGGGAUGACAGGCAAGCUCCACCGUUCUCCACUCCACCCGAUGCAGCUUCCACGGGAACAGUGACUGGACUUGGGUGACGUGAGACAAUGAAUGGGUUUCACCUCUCUGAUCUCCGGAGGGUGAGCGCGAUACAGCACACAUCCUCUGCCCUGGCCGAUGUGCAUGCACAAGGCGAUCGGUGGAAAGGGCUGGAUCAAGCGUUGCUAAAGCCACAGCGAGCGCUGCCUUCCAACCUUACAGCUGUGGGUACUGAGCCAGGCUCCUCCACGUGCUGCCGUUUCCCGGAUACUCAUCUCGCCCAUCCCCAUGACCCCUCCUCGCAGCAUUUCUUCUGUAGGCCUCGUUAAAGGCGGUGAGCCUAGCCAGGGAAGGGGUAGCGUGGAGGGGGAGGGGGUUGAGCGCUGCGGGCUGCAAGCCUCCCGCCUCCCGGUCAAUCCACAGCGAAAGCAACCUCAGGACCAAUUAGGAGAGGCAGCGGCACAUCAAGGCCUGCCUCUUCGAGAGCGCCCUCGUGUCUCAUUGGUUGCGUACCAGGAGCCGCCAACCAGCAGCACCACCGCAGGCGGGGCCCAGCCAGAACUGGUUUGUGCAAGGUGCCUCCUUGGCGGAGAUCCAGGCAGUAGUCGAUCCUGGGCGCUGCAAUACAUUCUCCUGCUGGCUCAGCAGGACGUGGUUCUCCAGCGCCCACAUCAGGCGGUUCAUAACUGCCCUUAAUUCCAACUCCAGUGUGGUGUGGAGUGUGUGUGUGUGUGUGUGUGUGUG
Molecule: long non-coding RNA, 1018 nt
Organism: Mesocricetus auratus (golden hamster)
Lineage: Eukaryota; Metazoa; Chordata; Mammalia; Rodentia; Cricetidae
Exons: 3
Source: RefSeq, a predicted model, not a curated record